CCUACGGGUGGCAGCAGUGGGGAAUAUUGGGCAAUGGGCGCAAGCCUGACCCAGCAACGCCGCGUGAAGGAAGAAGGCUUUCGGGUUGUAAACUUCUUUUGUCAGGGAAGAGUAGAAGACGGUACCUGACGAAUCAGCCACGGCUAACUACGUUCCAGCAGCCGCGGUAAUACGUAGGUGGCAAGCGUUGUCCGGAUUUACUGGGUGUAAAGGGCGUGUAGCCGGGUUGACAAGUCAGAUGUGAAAUCCUGCGGCUUAACCGCAGAACUGCAUUUGAAACUGUUGAUCUUGAGUACUGGAGAGGCAGACGGAAGUCCUAGUGUAGCGGUGAAAUGCGUAGAUAUGAGGAGGAACACCAGUGGCGAAGGCGGUCUGCUGGACAGCAACUGACGGUGAGGCGCGAAAGCGUGGGGAGCAAACAGGAUUAGAUACCCCAGUAGUC
RNAcentral lists this ribosomal RNA (442 nucleotides) under uncultured bacterium. RNAcentral describes it as "partial 16S ribosomal RNA". It matches the Rfam family "Bacterial small subunit ribosomal RNA", at positions 338 to 795 of the family's 1533-position model. The record is from RNAcentral.